This 442-nucleotide ribosomal RNA is filed under the name uncultured bacterium. Its description in RNAcentral is "partial 16S ribosomal RNA". It matches the Rfam family "Bacterial small subunit ribosomal RNA", at positions 338 to 795 of the family's 1533-position model. The record is from RNAcentral.
CCUACGGGAGGCAGCAGUAGGGAAUCUUUCACAAUGGGCGAAAGCCUGAUGGAGCAACGCCGCGUGCAGGAUGAAGGCCUUCGGGUUGUAAACUGCUUUUAUAAGCGAGAAAUAUGAUGGUAACUUAUGAAUAAGGAUCGGCUAACUACGUGCCAGCAGCCGCGGUCAUACGUAGGAUCCGAGCAUUAUCCGGAGUGACUGGGAGUAAAGAGUUGCGUAGGUGGCAUAAUAAGUAGCUAGUGAAAGCUGGUGGCUCAACCAUUCAGACUAUUAGCUAAACUGUUAAGCUCGAGACCGUUAGGGGUAACUGGAAUUUCUAGUGUAGGAGUGAAAUCCGUAGAUAUUAGAAGGAACACCAAUAGCGUAGGCAGGUUGCUGGGACGGUUCUGACACUAAGGCACGAAAGCGUAGGGAGCAAACGGGAUUAGAUACCCCAGUAGUC